GGGAUAGCUCAGUUGGUAGAGCAGAG
Molecule: non-coding RNA, 26 nt
Filed under: Mus musculus (house mouse)
Lineage: Eukaryota; Metazoa; Chordata; Mammalia; Rodentia; Muridae
Also listed under: 1 other name
Source: RNAcentral